Molecule: ribosomal RNA, 301 nt
Filed under: uncultured bacterium
Lineage: Bacteria
Description: partial 16S ribosomal RNA
Rfam family: Bacterial small subunit ribosomal RNA
Source: RNAcentral
CAGUCGCCACGGGAAUACAGAGGGUGCAAGCGUUAAUCGGAAUUACUGGGCGUAAAGCGCGCGUAGGUGGUUCGUUAAGUUGGAUGUGAAAUCCCCGGGCUCAACCUGGGAACUGCAUCCAAAACUGGCGAGCUAGAGUAGGGCAGAGGGUGGUGGAAUUUCCUGUGUAGCGGUGAAAUGCGUAGAUAUAGGAAGGAACACCAGUGGCGAAGGCGACCACCUGGGCUCAUACUGACACUGAGGUGCGAAAGCGUGGGGAGCAAACAGGAUUAGAUACCCCUGUAGUCCCUGUCUCUUAUAC